UUGAGUUAAAAUUCUUAAAUGUUUUUAUGGGACGAGAAGACCCUAUAGAGUUUAACAUUUUCUUGCUUUGGUGUUAUUGGUUUGAUUUAUAUUGUUUGAGGUUAGUUGAGUGUUUUGUUGGGGUGAUGGGAGGAAUGUAUUUAACUCCUCUUUAUUUUUAUAUAUUUAUUUAUAUUAGUUUGAUCCAUUUAUUUUGAUUAUAAGAUUAAAUUACCUUAGGGAUAACAGCGUUAUCUUCCUUGAGAGUUCUUAUUGGCAGGGAGGUUUGCGACCUCGAUGUUGGAUUAAGGUUAAUUUUCGGUGCAGAAGCUGAAAUGAUUUGGUCUGUUCGACCUUUAAAAUCUUACAUGAUCUGAGUUCAGACCGGCGUGAGCCAGGUUGGUUUCUAUCUAUAAUAAAGUUUAUACCUUAGUACGAGAGGACCGGGUAU
Molecule: ribosomal RNA, 430 nt
Filed under: Cyrilliotermes sp. BRA012
Lineage: Eukaryota; Metazoa; Arthropoda; Insecta; Blattodea; Termitidae
Description: partial 16S ribosomal RNA
Rfam family: Bacterial large subunit ribosomal RNA
Source: RNAcentral